CCUACGGGUGGCAGCAGUGGGGGAUAUUGCACAAUGGGGGAAACCCUGAUGCAGCGACGCCGCGUGGGCGAAGGAGUAUUUCGGUAGGUAAAGCCCUAUCAGCAGGGAGGAAGAAAUGACGGUACCUGAGUAAGAAGCACCGGCUAAAUACGUGCCAGCAGCCGCGGUAAUACGUAUGGUGCAAGCGUUAUCCGGAUUUACUGGUUGUAAGGGGAGCGCAGGCGGCACGGCAAGCCGGAUGUGAAAGCCCGCGGCCCACCCGCGGGACUGCAUUGGGAACUACCGGGCUGGAGUGCCGGGGACGUAGGAGGAAUGUCGAGUGUAGCGGUGAAAUGCGUAGAUAUUAGGCGGAACACCAGUGGCGAAGGCGGCCUACUGGACGGUGAUUGACGCUGAGGCUCGAAAGCGUGGGGAGCAAACAGGAUUAGAUACCCCAGUAGUC
RNAcentral lists this ribosomal RNA (442 nucleotides) under uncultured bacterium. Its description in RNAcentral is "partial 16S ribosomal RNA". It matches the Rfam family "Bacterial small subunit ribosomal RNA", at positions 338 to 795 of the family's 1533-position model. The record is from RNAcentral.